RNAcentral lists this transfer RNA (71 nucleotides) under Loxodonta africana (African savanna elephant). It matches the Rfam family "tRNA". From Rfam's summary of the family: Transfer RNA (tRNA) molecules are approximately 80 nucleotides in length. Their secondary structure includes four short double-helical elements and three loops (D, anti-codon, and T loops). Lineage: Eukaryota; Metazoa; Chordata; Mammalia; Proboscidea; Elephantidae. The record is from Rfam by way of RNAcentral.
GCAGUGGUAGUUCAGUGGCAGAAUUCUUGCCUUCCAUAUGGGAGAUCUGGGUUCAAUUCCUGGCCAAUGCA